This 736-nucleotide ribosomal RNA is filed under the name Scleroderma sp. RNAcentral's name for it is "eukaryotic LSU rRNA". It matches the Rfam family "Eukaryotic large subunit ribosomal RNA", at positions 146 to 858 of the family's 3401-position model. Lineage: Eukaryota; Fungi; Basidiomycota; Agaricomycetes; Boletales; Sclerodermataceae. The record is from RNAcentral.
UAAUCUAGAGAAGCGUCUUCCGCGCCGGACCGUGUACAAGUCUCCUGGAAGGGAGCAUCGUAGAGGGUGACAAUCCCGUCUCUGACACGGAUCCCCGGUGCUAUGUGAUGCGCUCUCGACGAGUCGAGUUGUUUGGGAAUGCAGCUCAAAUCGGGUGGUAAACUCCAUCUAAAGCUAAAUACAGGCGAGAGACCGAUAGCGAACAAGUACCGUGAGGGAAAGAUGAAAAGAACUUUGGAAAGAGAGUUAAACAGUACGUGAAAUUGCUGGAAGGGAAACGCUUGACGUCAGUCGCGUCGUCCGGGGAUCAACCUCGCUUUUCGCUGGGCGUAUUUCCCGGUCGACGGGUCAGCAUCGAUUUCGACCGUCGUAGAAGGACGCGAGUGAAUGUGGCACUCCACGGGGUGUGUUAUAGCCUCGCGUAUGGAUGCGAUGGUCGGGAUCGAGGAACUCGGCACGACCCCUCGAGGGUUCGGGGCUUCGGUCCACGCGCGUGCCCAGGAUGCUGGCGUAAUGGCUUUAAGCGACCCGUCUUGAAACACGGACCAAGGAGUCUAACGUGCCUGCGAGUGUUCGGGUGCAAAACCCGAGCGCGCAACGAAAGUGAAAGUCGAGACCUCCGUCGUGGAGGGCACCGACGCCCGGACCGGAGCCUUUGGCGAUGGAUCUGCGGUAGAGCAUGUAUGUUGGGACCCGAAAGAUGGUGAACUAUGCCUGAAUAGGGCGAAGCCAGAGG